AUUGAACGCUGGCGGCAUGCCUUACACAUGCAAGUCGAACGGCAGCACGGGUGCUUGCACCUGGUGGCGAGUGGCGAACGGGUGAGUAAUACAUCGGAACAUGUCCUGUAGUGGGGGAUAGCCCGGCGAAAGCCGGAUUAAUACCGCAUACGAUCCACGGAUGAAAGCGGGGGACCUUCGGGCCUCGCGCUAUAGGGUUGGCCGAUGGCUGAUUAGCUAGUUGGUGGGGUAAAGGCCUACCAAGGCGACGAUCAGUAGCUGGUCUGAGAGGACGACCAGCCACACUGGGACUGAGACACGGCCCAGACUCCUACGGGAGGCAGCAGUGGGGAAUUUUGGACAAUGGGCGAAAGCCUGAUCCAGCAAUGCCGCGUGUGUGAAGAGGGCCUUCGGGUUGUAAAGCACUUUUGUCCGGAAAGAAAUCCUUGACUCUAAUACAGUCGGGGGAGGACGGUACCGGAAGAAUAAACACCGGCUAACUACGU
Molecule: ribosomal RNA, 485 nt
Filed under: uncultured bacterium
Lineage: Bacteria
Description: partial 16S ribosomal RNA
Rfam family: Bacterial small subunit ribosomal RNA
Source: RNAcentral